Molecule: long non-coding RNA, 3270 nt
Organism: Lotus japonicus
Lineage: Eukaryota; Viridiplantae; Streptophyta; Magnoliopsida; Fabales; Fabaceae
Exons: 6
Source: RefSeq, a predicted model, not a curated record
UUAGCUCUUUAUUCCAUGAAACACAUUCAAAUUCUUCAUGCUGAAUUGAUGAUUCAUGUAAUCUAUAUGGCUCCACCGCCCAUCCUGGCCUUCCCUCGCCCAUUCAUUUAUUUUUAGUUUUUUUAGUUCAUUCCAUCCAAAAAAUGAAGAGACCUCACUCUAGAAAGUGAGGCACUCAAAAACCACACCCUCCUCCACAAAAUUCUACGUCAUCUUUUCUAAAAAAUAUUCACUCUCUCAGUCUCUCUCUUCAAUUGUACACUCGUGUUUCUCAGGCGCUGAACUCUGCAAGUAUGUAUUCCAGUCUUCACAUUCUCCACUUCCAAUUGAAACCGCUCUCUUUCUGAUUCACUCCUCUCAAAUCCCUGAAAUUUCUGCACUUCCGAAUCUGUUAUUCCCCACGUUCUCCCAUUUCAGAUAUAAUGGAUUUCAAAUUGACUCUCAAUUUCAAUUUCGAAAAUCCAGCGCCUUGGGGAAAAAAUUGGGGCUUUUUCAGGGGAAAACUUACGGGUUUCAUAAUCAUCUUUUUGGGUUGCCACAACCUCCAGCCAUUGAAAACCCUUCUCCCGCGCGCCUUGCUAGAUUCCGCAGCCGUUCACCUGUGCGAAGGUCAAGAACUUAGGUAUAUACCAUCCAAAUUGGCUAUUGGCUACUGAUAUUAUCACAAUAACUGGUGUUGUGAACUUAACAAAAGUAAAGCUUGCGGCAUUCUUUGUUUGCUGCGAUCCAGAGAAAAGCUCAUAUACUGGAGUUGACUUCAACCGAAUAUAUAUUCACUGAUUGUGAGGCUCACAAGGUGGUUCCUUUUUUCCUCCCUUUGAUCAAAGGCUACUGGCGGAGGAGGAGAAAAAUUCUAAAGAGCAAGAAAAUCCCAGCCCCGAUGAAAGGAAAAAAGAGGUUCCUACUGUACCUUUUUUUACAUAGUUUAGUGAGUCAAAGGGUGCAUUUUCUCAAGACUUAAGGUAUGUCCUCUUUUCUAAUGUAUGAUAUUUCAUAUUUGAUUUUGUGAUCUGGGACAUUCUAUGUUUAAGUGAUUUAGCAAAAAUGAAAUCAUUUCACAUGUCCCUUUUCUGACCUCCUUCUCUGUCUUCAGUGGUUUCAUUUAUUGACUCCCCAAAUUCAUAUUAACCCUUCAUGCAGGAAUAUAGUUGUCUAUGCCACUAACCUCACUUCCUAAUCAUCUCCACUAUUAUGCUUUCUGUGGAAGGCUUCAAGAGAUAGUUUUCUAAUUACAGAACUUAUUUUAAUUUGAUCAUGUAGAAAACUAAGAGAAGGACUGCAGAACUUUUCUGCAAACUAUAAUUACAGAACUUAUUAUAAUAUCUUUUCUUCUUUUGUGGGUUCAACUUUGUGCAAACUAUUAUUGCAUCUCCUUGAUUUGUUGCAUGUGAAUAUCUGCAAGAAGGAGGAGGAGAUGAAUUCUUCCGCUAUAUGUAUUUAUACAUUUAUUUCACUGCUUUAUGUGGUUGUGAUUUAUCAUGUUUUCCUUCCUUCUACAUGUUUCAUUUUUCUCUUAUGCUUGCUUCUCUAUCCUGAUUUAAUCUAUGGGUGCCUAUAUAGGUUGCGUUAGAAAAGAGAAUUUUCUCUUUUAUCAUUGAUCUUCAAGUGAGUUCUUAAUAUGACUAUAUUAUAAUUCUAAUUUUAAGUUUUUAACUACCGUGAUUGUAAGUUUUAUAGUGUGGUGGACCCUAAACUCAUCCCAUUCCAAAAAUCCAUUUUUCUGCAUUCUUAUUCUCAUUAUCUUAUUGAAUUUCUUCAUACUGGGAUCUGUUUUAACUCUUGAAUGACAUUUGAAAGCUUCCCAAAUGCAUGUAUUUUCUCAUGGAAAUUCCAACAGAGUUGAGAAUUUUUUUUCCUAUAAAUUCUCUGUAAUAUAGCAAGUGGAUUAAUUGAGUGAAUUUUUUUUUCUUCACCUGAAUUCACUCUUGGAACUCGAGAGAGGAGCAACUUAGUGUAUCUUUUUUAUUUAUUCUCUUAAACUUUUCCUCUUUCUCUUCAAUCCUUUUCUUUUCUUGGCAUUUUGGUAAAUAGAUGGUGAGCCAAUUUAGUCAAAGUUUGCAAAGAUUAAUGAAUAGGUUUCAAUUCUAAUGAGAUGCAUUGCAGUCACUUUCUCCAACAACUUGAAAACGUGUUACAUUUAGUUUAUGAAAACGUUUGUCACCGUAAGUGUACUGAUUGUAGUCAAUUAAAUGACAGAACUAUUUUUUAUUUGAUCAUCUGAUCUGAUAUUGCUCUAUUUGUUUUAUUGCAGAAGAAUCUGUAUUACAUUUAAUUUAUCAUAUAUUGAAAUUCGAUUACAUCAGCUGUUUUCUGAAUGAGUCAUGGUUAGACAACGGUUUUAGCAUUUUAGGUGCUGCUAGAUGAUUUUUUGGCGUUGCAAUAGGUAACCAACAUACUUUCUCUUUUACAUUAGUUGUCUUUUUAUACUCAAGCUAGAAUUUUCACAUAUUUUUGGUGCUGCUCGAUUGAACUUAUUAUCAAGUAGUAUUUUUAAUUGAUGUUGUCACUUCUCAGUUUCUUCUUUGUUUGGUGGUUCUUUACAUUUAGAAUGGAUAUGAAGGUGAUGACACUUUGAAAUUUUUAGUUCAUUUUCAUUUAAUUUUUAAAUUAGUUGGAAGCUCUCCUUUUCCCCCACUUUUUAACUCUAUUCUAUCUUUUGUUUUCAUUUCUCUCUAUAGGGAAAUGGUUUGUAAAGUCAUCCAAUGCUACAAGGAAACGGAUACUGGACUGGAGGUUUAUUUUCAGAAUUUUAGUUCAGAAUUGUCUGGACACAGAAAUACUGAAAUAUGUUGAGGAAGCUUUAUCCAAAAGGUGUCUACGCAGUCUACUGUGGAAAUUGGAUAGAUGUUGAAGGUCAGGUUCUGAUUUUGAACUUGCUGUGGGGAUCUCUGCUACUAGGCAUAACCUACAAAAUUUUUGGGACAAUGUUAGAUAAUCAAGAUUCCAGGCAGGGCAACGUCGGGGAAGAGGCAGAGCAUGGAUAGAGCUAUUAACGUAAUAUACACAACAAUUUAUGAUGCAACUUGGCUGGAAACAUUUGUAGCAACUUGGCUGGAAAAUAUUUUGAAUCUGGCUGCAGAUCAAAAGAUUUGUGUAAACUGAUUCUAUGCUUUGUUAUUAUGCAAGGUGUCACUGUUAGCAUGAGAACAACAUGCUUUUAAUUCUCUUUGACUAUCUAUUUAUCCACCAGAAAAAAUAACAAUUUCAUGCUAAAAUCGAACUAUUUUCUUUUUAUAUCAAGGAUGGAAAUUUUUUGCUUCUAUUAUAGAA